GUGGAAUUUGUUCAUCCUCUGAUACAAAAGAAUAUAUAUUAGUCAAAUUAAAUAAAAAAAAUGGUUCAAGAUGAGAAUGCAGAGAAACUGAAUGCACAGUGCAAGAUUGUAAAGUUCUAAGUGGAAGGGAAAAAAAAAUCAUUUUCUAGCCAUAAGCUUUCAGGAUAUAGCGUUGAAUACUUGAAUUUCCUCUCUUUUCUUUCCGACAAAUGACAAAGGUCAAAUCAUUAAAAAAGCAAAAAAAAAUCAUAACUUUGAGCCUAAUUUCAAUUAUAGUAAAUUCUUUUAAUUUUAUCAAAUUUGGCGAUGUACUAAUUUUGCAUUCACCCAGCCACAAAUUAUAACCAGUAAAAUGUUCAGCAGAUUGUAGAUAGCAAAAGUCUCAUUACUCCUAAACAUCAAGCCCAUAGGGAAGAAUAAACUGCGUCUUUCAUUUAUUCUCCUGCCAAACACCUAAAACCCAAAGAUCAGCAAUCUUCCUAAACAUAAAAAGAGGCGAGAACCAGGUAGCAGAAAUACCGGACAUGUCACCAGCUAUAAGAUUCGCAGGGGAUAUAUAUAUAUAUCACGUGAAUCCAGUAACUAAGGCAGUACACUGCAAAGUCCUAGAGUCUGCAACAAGUAAAUUUUUCCCUCACAAUUUGCCUUUGUUUAUUAAUCCAACAACUCAUUUGUAUCACUCAAUUAGCAUUAACAACCAAAUUUAACCACCAAAAAUCAAUCACUGAAAACUUCAUCUUCAAUACCCAGCAACUAAAUUUGAAGAAACCAGGCUCACACGUAGAUUCCUUCCAAGACAGGAAGGGGGUCAAACACAAAACCCUAAUUAUGCAUCAGUUCCACUAGAAUCCAAAAGGGUUUUUAAAAG
This 868-nucleotide unclassified non-coding RNA is filed under the name Hevea brasiliensis (rubber tree). Lineage: Eukaryota; Viridiplantae; Streptophyta; Magnoliopsida; Malpighiales; Euphorbiaceae. The record is from RNAcentral.